Molecule: ribosomal RNA, 117 nt
Filed under: Sinocyclocheilus grahami
Lineage: Eukaryota; Metazoa; Chordata; Actinopteri; Cypriniformes; Cyprinidae
Source: RNAcentral
UUUUGCAGCCAUAUCACCCUGUAGCCCAAGACUGGUUGCCCACUGAAGCUAAGCAGGGCUGAGCCUGGUCAGUACCUGGAUGGGAGACCUCCUGGGAAAACUAGGUUGCUGCUGGAA